Molecule: ribosomal RNA, 253 nt
Filed under: uncultured bacterium
Lineage: Bacteria
Description: partial 16S ribosomal RNA
Rfam family: Bacterial small subunit ribosomal RNA
Source: RNAcentral
GACAGAGGGGGCAAGCGUUGCUCGGAAUUACUGGGCGUAAAGGGCGCGUAGGCGGGAUGGCAAGUCGGUCGUGAAAUGCCUCGGCUCAACUGAGGAUCGUCGAUCGAUACUGCCGUUCUUGAGGAUUGCAGAGGAGACUGGAAUUCCCGGUGUAGCGGUGAAAUGUGUAGGGAUCGGGAGGAACACCGGUGGCGAAGGCGGGUCUCUGGGCAAUUCCUGACGCUGAGGCGCGAAAGCGUGGGGAGCAAACGGG